CAAACCAAUAAAGUUUUCUUUAUUGGGGUUGAGGACAUACCACAUAUAAGAGGUCAUUAUAGACGAAGAAGUUUGGAAAAACUCAUCAUAGAAGGUAAUAAUCCUGUAGUCAAAAUAAUAAUUCUUUAGGUAUGAUCCAGAGUACCACGGGACACGUGAAACCCUGUGGGAAGCAGGAGGGACCACCCUCCAAGGCUAAAUACUACCUAGUGACCGAUAGCGUAUAGUACCG
RNAcentral lists this ribosomal RNA (232 nucleotides) under Clostridioides difficile. Its description in RNAcentral is "partial 23S ribosomal RNA". It matches the Rfam family "Bacterial large subunit ribosomal RNA", at positions 270 to 503 of the family's 2925-position model. The record is from RNAcentral. Lineage: Bacteria; Bacillati; Bacillota; Clostridia; Peptostreptococcales; Peptostreptococcaceae.